Molecule: non-coding RNA, 46 nt
Organism: Schistosoma haematobium
Lineage: Eukaryota; Metazoa; Platyhelminthes; Trematoda; Strigeidida; Schistosomatidae
Source: Rfam
GAACUGCUGAGGGGUCCUACAAUAAGACGAAACGGCCGUCCAGUGU